Molecule: ribosomal RNA, 468 nt
Filed under: uncultured bacterium
Lineage: Bacteria
Description: partial 16S ribosomal RNA
Rfam family: Bacterial small subunit ribosomal RNA
Source: RNAcentral
GACGAACGCUGGCGGCGUGCUUAACACAUGCAUGUCGAACGGAAAGGCCCUGCUUUUGUGGGGUGCUCGAGUGGCGAACGGGUGAGUAACACGUGAGUAACCUGCCCUUGACUUUGGGAUAACUUCAGGAAACUGGGGCUAAUACCGGAUAGGAGCUCCUGCUGCAUGGUGGGGGUUGGAAAGUUUCGGCGGUUGGGGAUGGACUCGCGGCUUAUCAGCUUGUUGGUGGGGUAGUGGCUUACCAAGGCUUUGACGGGUAGCCGGCCUGAGAGGGUGACCGGCCACAUUGGGACUGAGAUACGGCCCAGACUCCUACGGGAGGCAGCAGUGGGGAAUAUUGCACAAUGGGCGGAAGCCUGAUGCAGCAACGCCGCGUGCGGGAUGACGGCCUUCGGGUUGUAAACCGCUUUCGCCUGUGACGAAGAGUGAGUGACGGUAAUGGGUAAAGAAGCACCGGCUAACUACGUG